Transfer RNA from Smittium culicis, 49 nucleotides. It matches the Rfam family "tRNA", at positions 1 to 47 of the family's 71-position model. Rfam says of the family: Transfer RNA (tRNA) molecules are approximately 80 nucleotides in length. Their secondary structure includes four short double-helical elements and three loops (D, anti-codon, and T loops). The record is from Rfam. NCBI's taxonomy places the organism in Eukaryota, Fungi, Kickxellomycota, Harpellomycetes, Harpellales, Legeriomycetaceae.
GCUUUGAUGGCUCAGUUGGUAGAGCGUGAGUCUCAUAAUCUCAAGGUCG